Molecule: long non-coding RNA, 609 nt
Organism: Rhipicephalus microplus (southern cattle tick)
Lineage: Eukaryota; Metazoa; Arthropoda; Arachnida; Ixodida; Ixodidae
Source: RefSeq, a predicted model, not a curated record
CACGAAGACGAAAGCGGCUCUUCGCGGCAGUCGCUGCUGCUCUUCAUCGUGGCCACGGCCAUCCUCGUAGUCUGCAUGGUGGCUGGCCUCAUCUCCAUCGCCCUGCUCGAACAGGUCGAGAGGCGCAAAAAACGGGUGUCCAUAGAUUCCCCCGACUUUGACUGAGGCGGCACGGAGCUCUUCGGCUACGGCUAGGCGUUCUUCCUGUGGAAGCGAGCCGCGUGGCGCCGCUCCGAUUUACCUGAACAAGCGACCUGCAGCCCAGACGAAGAACAGCCACUCCACCGAAGCGUUCCCACGGCAUCAGCUUCUUCACGCCGACAGCGCAUAACGCUGCCACUGAACUUUUUUUUUUCUCCGUGCACGUGUCCUCUUCUUUUUUUUUUUCUUCUCAACUUUUAACGCAUACCUAACAUGCUGUCUAUAGCAUUAAAAACCAUUCUGUGGACACGGGUAUAAAGAGAUCUACCUUAUUCUAUGCAUGGAUGUGUCACGCUUCAGAUUGACGAUUGGACAAUGCUAUAGUGCCGGGACCCCAAGUCGCUUCCAUAUACGCACGCUCUUGAGUUUUUUUUUUGUAUUUUCCUUGGAUGCUGCUGGACGUACAAA